This 581-nucleotide long non-coding RNA is filed under the name Chrysolophus pictus (golden pheasant). RNAcentral's name for it is "lncRNA (ENSCPIG00010009448.1)". Lineage: Eukaryota; Metazoa; Chordata; Aves; Galliformes; Phasianidae. The record is from RNAcentral.
UUGUGGUGUAGCAUGGAGGUUGGAGCGCUGCGCUGUGGCUGCUCACUCUCAGUGGCGCUGCCCCCGCGGAACUGCGCCCGCGUCCCGCACGACUCCGCGCCCUUCGCUUCUCUCUCUUCUUCUUCCUCGCCCCGCCGCUCAGCGCCCUUCUGGAGGCCGUGGGCGCCCGGCCCCGCCACGGUGCGCAGCCCCUGUGGGCUGGCCGAGGCCUCCGGAAAGCUGGCUCAGUACGCACACCCCGUGAGGUGGAAAUACGGAAUCCAGAGAAUAUAUUUCUUCUUAUAUGUGGAGAAUGUUUAGUCAUUGGCCAUGUGAGGGGAAUGCUGUAUGAAGUUUGUCUAGUCAGCCUUCAAGUAGCACGUAUAAUAACAAUAAGGAAACUUACUCUAUGCUUGUUUCAGACUAUUUUGGCCCAAAUCAAGGUGCUACGAUUACCUGUAUCAGGAAGCUGAGGCACUUCUGAAAAACUUUCCUGUUCAAGCUACAAUUUCUUUUUAUGAAGACACAGACAGUGAGGAGGAUGAAGGUGAACUGGAGCAAGAUGCAAGAGCAGAAUCACAUUGCUGAUGGCAAGAAAGGCC